RNAcentral lists this ribosomal RNA (440 nucleotides) under uncultured bacterium. Its description in RNAcentral is "partial 16S ribosomal RNA". It matches the Rfam family "Bacterial small subunit ribosomal RNA", at positions 338 to 795 of the family's 1533-position model. The record is from RNAcentral.
CCUACGGGAGGCAGCAGUAGGGAAUAUUGCUCAAUGGGGGAAACCCUGAAGCAGCAACGCCGCGUGGAGGAUGAAGGUUUUCGGAUUGUAAACUCCUUUUGUUAGAGAAGAUAAUGACGGUAUCUAACGAAUAAGCACCGGCUAACUCCGUGCCAGCAGCCGCGGUAAUACGGAGGGUGCAAGCGUUACACGGAUUCACUGGGCGUAAAGAGCGCGUAGGCGGGAUAGCAAGUCAGAUGUGAAAUCCUAGGGCUUAACCAUAGAACUGCAUUUGAAACUGUUAUUCUAGAGUAUGGGAGAGGUAGGUGGAAUUCUUGGUGUAGGGGUGAAAUCCGUAGAGAUCAAGAGGAAUACUCAUUGCGAAGGCGACCUGCUAGAACAUAACUGACGCUGAUGCGCGAAAGCGUGGGGAGCAAACAGGAUUAGAUACCCCAGUAGUC